Long non-coding RNA from Astatotilapia calliptera (eastern happy), 3827 nucleotides. Lineage: Eukaryota; Metazoa; Chordata; Actinopteri; Cichliformes; Cichlidae. The record is from Ensembl.
UGAAGCAUUAAUAAAUUUUUAUUUCAGGUAAAACAUUAAACAACAUUUACAGAAGGACAUUACAUCUUCCAUAAUAACAUUACAUACAGCUCGUAACAAAUAAUGCAACAGCUACUCUACUGUAUACUAUAAUAUUUCACUGGAUGAAGUGACUGACACUUCUGUUUUCCAAACCACUUGUGAAAAUGACGUAUUUUCAGUGCAGCAUACAAAAAGAAAAAUCCAAACGUGAAGAGAAGCUUUACAGAAAAAAGUUGCAAACACAGACUCAUCGUUGAGCACGGCGAGGAUGCACGUUGGCUCCAACCUAUAUGUUUUUCCUAUUCGUACGACUUCUGCCCACACCACAAAGACUGUCAAAAAUAGAUGCCUUAUAUUUAUACUCAUCAUAUAUGUACAGUCAUAUAUGACGUCUCUUUAACAGCAUUAAGGGGACACUUGUAACCCUGUAUACAAACAUAGUGGAAGCGUCACUUUUUCACUCCAGCGACGAUGAAAAAGCACUACGUUAUCAAUCUCUCUUUCUUCUCUGUCACAGUGCUAAAUGUGCAAUUCCGACUAGUCGUUCCUUCACUGGGCUCUACGUGAAAGAUAUGAAGCACAUUCAAGUUAAAACAGAGCUUGAACUCUGCCUGCACAGGACUCAAAAAUAUACGUUUUUUACAAGACUCCAGGCUCUCGAGCCUAAAAGAAGAGCAUUGGGGCGUGGGGGUUGGGCUGAAUGAAUGAAUAUGAGCCACACUGAAAGUGUGCACACAAGGAGAAACAUAGCAAAAAUAAUUAUUCAGCUGCUAAUACUGCCUGCAAUCCCUUAAAGCCAAGCGAGGCUGGGCAAUCUUAGCACAGCUCGAUGGUAUUAACCCUCCUCUGUCACGCUGCUUUACUGGCAUUACCCACCGCCUUGCCUCCCCUUUUUUCGUGCCGCACAAUCACAGCCCGGGGAUGACACUGAAAAGCCGCGAGAUAACUCAGAGUACAGCACUUCCACGAGUUCUCCCCUAUCUGCAAUAAAAGUUAAAACCAAGGGACAAUAUUUACAUUUGUGAGGAAGGCUGGUUUGAGCAAAGCAAGGGUAUAUAUAUACUUAUAUUCAUAUAUUAAUCAUUAAGGGCAAAGCCAGUGCAUAACAGAAGAACACAGGCAUUCCAAACCAGUGGCCCACAGCCGUACGUACUGUAAUAACUGAAGUAGCCAACUGGAAAAGCUUCAUGCUAGCUACAGCUGAGCUUUGGUUCACCACAUGGUUGGCAUAAAGAAGAGGGAUUAUUAAAUUAUGUAAGCACUGUAUGGAAGAAAGACAUGAAAACAGUCUGCAAAAUCAGCCGAGAGAGUGCACGUAGGGGUUGCAGGGUUUUCUAGAUGCCAGGUCUAGAUGGCUGUGAAGAAAUAAUCUGGCAGGCAAGACAUCUCUAUUAUGUGUGUUUGAGAGGCUGUGGAGUCACAUUAGAAGCAUCCACGGUUUCCAUUCGUCCAUGGCUUCAGAUUUUUGGCUAAUCAACAGUGCAGGGCCAAUAUUAUUGUUUCAGUCGCUUUCAAACGGACUGGUAAAGAGGAAGCCAUUGUAUCGGUAGCACUUCACAUCAUCACCACACAUCUAAGCUGAAAUAUUCAGAUAUUUGCACACAAAACAACAAAAGAAAGACAAAAACCCAGUAGAAGAUCUUUGCAGAUGACAGCAUACAGCUCACCUUCAUCACUGUGUCAUAAAAUGUUCCAAAGCACGGGCACACAGUUUGGGAAUGUCUCUGCUUGAGAGCACAUGUUGGUGUUAUAGGGACUGAUCAGAGUUAAUCACCACCUCCUACUAUGUGUAUCUACUCCACACACACACACACACACACACACACACACUACAAAUCAGUCAUUCAAAUUUUUCAGAGAAAAGAAAUUCCAGAUCUGUAACGUAGAAGCUUAAAAAUAACUCGGUGACUCAGAUCGUCUGUGUCCGAGAGGAUAUUGCAGAUUCUUUGUUAGUAACAGUAAAAGUGAAAAGGAGGAUUGUCGAGGGCAGGAUCAGAUAACAGGCCACGCUGCCUGUGCCUUUUCUACAUUAGCUCAUAUACAUGGAUGGAAGCACCAGUGCUUUGCUAUUGCCCAUGUUUAAUACACUCACACACACUAGCACACACAUGCAUUUCCAUUAUCCAGCUGUUGUUAAACACAGUAUUGCGUCUAUGCGCACACCGGUUGGUGCCGUCCCCGUAGAGUUGUGUACACAGUCAAAAUCGUCCGCAGAGAUCGUUUGGACGAGAGAGACUUUUCAAGGUGCGAAACACAAUCAGUUCCAUCUGGUUCCAUCGUGGAGGUCCACGGAAAUAUCAAACCGCUAGAAUUUUCCUACAAAUGGGGCCUUACUUUGGGAGUUUUGGCCUUUACUCUCGAGGAUUCUGAGUGAAUAUUACUCACAUACACAUUUCAAAGUGCAAUUACAUACAACAGGUCACCCAUAAUAACACCAGCUUUUUAUUGCAAAUACAAGAAUCCAUGUCUUACUUGGAUUCAAUUCAAAAGAGAGAAGCCAAACGUCGGCAGUACGAGCUGACGCAUACUAAGGCCUUUUCAUCUCAGCUGCUCGCUGUUACCUCUGCACAUGCUCAUUAGUGUCCUUUUUUGAACUCUGAUAAUAUGAUACAAAUAAAAAUAGAUUUGUCAGAGCUUCAGCAAUAGGCAGGUUUAUGUUUAAAAGUGCACAAACCUGGACUGUGUUCAGAGAAACCAGCCAAAGGUAAUUCUCAUUAAUGCUGUUUUCCUCCAUUAGUUGGUUUGUCCAGAUAAACAGCUGCAAACCAGUGUAGCAGGAGAGACUGCAGUGAGGUCAUGGAAACGAAUGAGCAUCAGCCAAAUGUUGGUCCACAUCAAAUAUUAAAGGUUAUUUUAUGGUCUUUGGUUCAAAUUCUGGGUUCGUGACAUUUGGCCGAGUGGUUUUUACACCAUUGUGUAGUGGUUAACACAUUUGCCUCAGCUCUGCAGUUUGAGACUCAGAAGAGCCACAAAUUCAGCAUCAAGGAGUCACAGCUGGAGUUUUCCUAGUGUCAGGAAUAAAUGUGUCAGGUAGGGCAUCUGAUGUCAAAUUUGUGUCUAUUUGAACAACCUGGGGUCAAGUAUGCAGAUAAAAGCCUUGGUAGGUCACAGGAACAGUGGACUGGAGCUGAAAAGCUCCCAAAACUCAUACGUACUUCAGUCUAAGCACUGGUCCAUGAUAAUCUCCUUCUUCUUUCAACCGUGUCCUUUCAUGUAAAAGCAGUUUUACCCUGUUGCAGUACUGUGAGAUGAAUAUUCAGAGAAGUGAUGAAAAUCCUGGUCAGAACUACCAAAGUAAGCCUGUAACAUGAACCCACACAGCAUGACGAACAUCCGACAAAGAGUCUUAUCUACUAUUACCUACCAGAUUUGAGUGUUAGUAUUUACAUGGGGUUUGAAGCUGUUAGCUACUUUGUUGUGAGUCCAUUAACUAAUAAAUUAAAGCUUUAAAGCAGGUGCAGUUUAAGCUACAAAAGAACCGAGGACCUCCAAUAUGGCUGCCAGAGUAGGCUACCUGAAAGCCCUCUGAGAUCGUCAUUAUUAUGACGUCAUUAUUAUAGCGUCAUUAUUAUAGCGUCAUUAUUAUAGCGUCAUUAUUAUAGCGUCAUUAUUAUAGCGUCAUUAUUAUGACGUCAUUAUUAUAGCGUCAUAUUAUAGCGUCAUUAUUAUGACGUCAUUAUCACGGUUUUCUCCUAUAAUUCCACAAAUGAGAGAUAAACAGAAAUGAAAAACUUUAGCAUUCGUUGUUUUCUUUGAAGUGACUGCAUUACUUCUGUUUCAGAGAUGCUCGUGUGCAUGGAUUUAAU